UUCAACUUUUUCAACAAUGUAUCACACUCGCACAAUCCCGAAACAAAUUUUGUCCUAAACCAAUAUUAUAAAUGGUAAUAUCCUACUAUAUUAUUUGGGAAGUACAUUUUAAAUAUAACCUUAAUUUUUGUAAGUAAUUACAUAGGUAUGCCAUUAAAAAUAAAAUUUUAAAGAGUAAAUUAAUUUAUCUCUUUAAGGAUUAAAAAGUCAAAUACUAAUUUAAUU
Molecule: small RNA, 225 nt
Filed under: Arabidopsis thaliana (thale cress)
Lineage: Eukaryota; Viridiplantae; Streptophyta; Magnoliopsida; Brassicales; Brassicaceae
Description: ATSL026710
Source: RNAcentral